CGGAGGGUGCAAGCGUUGUCCGGAUUUAUGGGUUUAAAGGGUGCGUAGGCGGCCCGAUAAGUCAGUGGUGAAAGCCUCCAGCUCAACUGGAGAACUGCCAUUGAUACUGUCGGGCUUGAGUACAGACGAGGUUGGCGGAAUUGAUGGUGUAGCGGUGAAAUGCAUAGAUACCAUCAAGAACUCCGAUUGCGUAGGCAGCUAACUAGGCUGUAACUGACGCUGAGGCACGAAAGCGUGGGGAGCGAACAGGAUUAGAUACCCUGGUAGUCCACGCUGUAAACGAUGAUCACUCGAUGUCGGCGAUAAACUGUCGGCGUCUUAGCGAAAGCGUUAAGUGAUCCACCUGGGGGAGUACGCCCGCAAGGGUG
Molecule: ribosomal RNA, 368 nt
Filed under: uncultured organism
Description: bacterial SSU rRNA
Rfam family: Bacterial small subunit ribosomal RNA
Source: RNAcentral